UACGAAGGGGGCUAGCGUUGUUCGGAAUCACUGGGCGUAAAGCGCACGUAGGCGGAUUGUUAAGUCGGGGGUGAAAUCCUGAGGCUCAACCUCAGAACUGCCUUUGAUACUGAGGAUCUUGAGUUCGGGAGAGGUGAGUGGAACUGCGAGUGUAGAGGUGAAAUUCGUAGAUAUUCGCAAGAACACCAGUGGCGAAGGCGGCUCACUGGCCCGAUACUGACGCUGAGGCACGAAAGCGUGGGGAGCAAACAGG
This 253-nucleotide ribosomal RNA is filed under the name uncultured bacterium. RNAcentral describes it as "partial 16S ribosomal RNA". It matches the Rfam family "Bacterial small subunit ribosomal RNA", at positions 524 to 776 of the family's 1533-position model. The record is from RNAcentral.